UGGGAAUUUUGGACAAUGGGCGAAAGCCUGAUCCAGCCAUGCCGCGUGCAGGAUGAAGGCCUUCGGGUUGUAAACUGCUUUUUGUACGGAACGAAAAGACUCUGGUUAAUACCUGGGGUCCAUGACGGUACCGUAAGAAUAAGCACCGGCUAACUACGUGCCAGCAGCCGCGGUAAUACGUAGGGUGCAAGCGUUAAUCGGAAUUACUGGGCGUAAAGCGUGCGCAGGCGGUUAUAUAAGACAGAUGUGAAAUCCCCGGGCUCAACCUGGGAACUGCAUUUGUGACUGUAUAGCUAGAGUACGGCAGAGGGGGAUGGAAUUUCCGCGUGUAGCAGUGAAAUGCGUAGAUAUGCGGAGGAACACCGAUGGCNAAGCAUCCCCUGGGCCGUACUGACGCUCAUGCACGAAAGCGUGGGGAGC
This 420-nucleotide ribosomal RNA is filed under the name uncultured bacterium. RNAcentral describes it as "partial 16S ribosomal RNA". It matches the Rfam family "Bacterial small subunit ribosomal RNA", at positions 356 to 769 of the family's 1533-position model. The record is from RNAcentral.